This 75-nucleotide transfer RNA is filed under the name Luteimonas dalianensis. RNAcentral's name for it is "tRNA-Val". It matches the Rfam family "tRNA". Rfam says of the family: Transfer RNA (tRNA) molecules are approximately 80 nucleotides in length. Their secondary structure includes four short double-helical elements and three loops (D, anti-codon, and T loops). Further hydrogen bonds mediate the characteristic L-shaped molecular structure. tRNAs have two regions of fundamental functional importance: the anti-codon, which is responsible for specific mRNA codon recognition, and the 3' end, to which the tRNAs corresponding amino acid is attached (by aminoacyl-tRNA synthetases). tRNAs cope with the degeneracy of the genetic code in two manners: having more than one tRNA (with a specific anti-codon) for a particular amino acid; and 'wobble' base-pairing, i.e. permitting non-standard base-pairing at the 3rd anti-codon position. RNAcentral also lists the same sequence under 10 other names. The record is from RNAcentral. Lineage: Bacteria; Pseudomonadati; Pseudomonadota; Gammaproteobacteria; Lysobacterales; Lysobacteraceae.
GGGCGGUUAGCUCAGCGGUAGAGCACUACCUUGACAUGGUAGGGGUCACUGGUUCGAUCCCAGUACCGCCCACCA